Molecule: ribosomal RNA, 498 nt
Filed under: uncultured bacterium
Lineage: Bacteria
Description: partial 16S ribosomal RNA
Rfam family: Bacterial small subunit ribosomal RNA
Source: RNAcentral
GGCGAACGCUGGCGGCAUGCCUAAUACAUGCAAGUUGAACGAUGAUAUUCUCUGCUUGCAGAGAAUUGAAGAGUAGCGAACGGGUGAGUAACACGUGGGGAACCUGCCCAUGAGAGGGGGAUAACAUUCGGAAACGGAUGCUAAUACCGCAUAAUGCUUUGGACCGCCUGGUCCAGAGACGAAAGACGGCUUUUGCUGUCACUCAUGGAUGGCCCCGCGCCGUAUUAGCUAGUUGGUGAGGUAAUGGCUCACCAAAGCUGUGAUACGUAGCCGACCUGAGAGGGUGAUCGGCCACACUGGGACUGAGACACGGCCCAGACUCCUACGGGAGGCAGCAGUAGGGAAUCUUCCACAAUGGGCGAAAGCCUGAUGGAGCAAUGCCGCGUGAAUGAAGAAGGUCUUCGGAUCGUAAAGUUCUGUUAUUAGAGAAGAACAAGUCAAGGAGUAACUGUCUUGACUUUGACGGUACCUAACCAGAAAGUCACGGCUAACUACGUG